This 313-nucleotide long non-coding RNA is filed under the name Gallus gallus (chicken). Lineage: Eukaryota; Metazoa; Chordata; Aves; Galliformes; Phasianidae. The record is from RNAcentral.
UUUUGUUUUUGCUUUUGCAUAAAAACCAUGCGGUUAAUGUGUGGAAGCAGCAAACACACGCACACUUUUAUAGGUGAAUGUUUAAUUCCUGUUGAUUUUUCUUCCGUGACUGUCCCUCUGGAAUACUGGCAGUAAAAGCACACGGUCCGGUCAGUGGUUGGCUUUCAGCUUUCACGAGUAACUUUUCUUCUCCACGUGUCUGACUUCUUUCUUUGUCUUAACCUUGUAAGCUUCGCCCUGUUUUCUUGUGAUGACGUUGCCUUCUUCGUCGGUAAACUGCUCCUCUGUUACAGAUUCACCAGGAAUGUUUUUU